AUUGAACGCUGGCGGCAGGCCUAACACAUGCAAGUCGAGCGGAUGAAGGGAGCUUGCUCCUGGAUUCAGCGGCGGACGGGUGAGUAAUGCCUAGGAAUCUGCCUGGUAGUGGGGGAUAACGUCCGGAAACGGGCGCUAAUACCGCAUACGUCCUGAGGGAGAAAGUGGGAGAUCUUCGGACCUCACGCUAUCAGAUGAGCCUAGGUCGGAUUAGCUAGUUGGUGGGGUAAAGGCCUACCAAGGCGACGAUCCGUAACUGGUCUGAGAGGAUGAUCAGUCACACUGGAACUGAGACACGGUCCAGACUCCUACGGGAGGCAGCAGUGGGGAAUAUUGGACAAUGGGCGAAAGCCUGAUCCAGCCAUGCCGCGUGUGUGAAGAAGGUCUUCGGAUUGUAAAGCACUUUAAGUUGGGAGGAAGGGCAGUAAGUUAAUACCUUGCUGUUUUGGCGUUACCAACAGAAUAAGCACCGGCUAACUUCGUG
This 484-nucleotide ribosomal RNA is filed under the name uncultured bacterium. RNAcentral's name for it is "partial 16S ribosomal RNA". It matches the Rfam family "Bacterial small subunit ribosomal RNA", at positions 30 to 507 of the family's 1533-position model. The record is from RNAcentral.